Molecule: long non-coding RNA, 358 nt
Filed under: Triticum aestivum (bread wheat)
Lineage: Eukaryota; Viridiplantae; Streptophyta; Magnoliopsida; Poales; Poaceae
Description: long non-coding RNA (TAES_LNC028504)
Source: RNAcentral
CGCGCCGUCUCCGGCGGCCCCGUCUACGUUAGCGACUCCGUCGGCAGCCAUGACUUCGCGCUGCUCCGCCGCCUCGCGCUCCCGGACGGCACCGUCCUCCGCUGCGAGCACCACGCGCUCCCCACCCGCGACCUCCUCUUCCUCGACCCGCUCCACGACGGCAAGACCAUGCUCAAGAUCUGGAACCUCAACAGGUUCUCCGGCGUGCUCGGGGCUUUCAACUGCCAGGGCGGCGGGUGGAGCCCCGAGGCGCGGCGGAACAAGUGCUGGUCCCAGUGCUCCGUCCCCGUCACCGCGCGCGCCGGCCCGGCGGACGUCGAGUGGACGCAGGGCACCGCCAAACCCGUCGCCGUCGAGG